This 165-nucleotide ribosomal RNA is filed under the name Elephantopus mollis. Its description in RNAcentral is "5.8S ribosomal RNA". It matches the Rfam family "5.8S ribosomal RNA". Rfam says of the family: 5.8S ribosomal RNA (5.8S rRNA) is a component of the large subunit of the eukaryotic ribosome. It is transcribed by RNA polymerase I as part of the 45S precursor that also contains 18S and 28S rRNA. Lineage: Eukaryota; Viridiplantae; Streptophyta; Magnoliopsida; Asterales; Asteraceae. The record is from RNAcentral.
CAAACGACUCUCGGCAACGGAUAUCUCGGCUCACGCAUCGAUGAAGAACGUAGCAAAAUGCGAUACUUGGUGUGAAUUGCAGAAUCCCGUGAACCAUCGAGUUUUUGAACGCAAGUUGCGCCCGAAGCCAUUCGGUCGAGGGCACGUCUGCCUGGGCGUCAUGCA